RNAcentral lists this ribosomal RNA (447 nucleotides) under uncultured bacterium. RNAcentral describes it as "partial 16S ribosomal RNA". It matches the Rfam family "Bacterial small subunit ribosomal RNA", at positions 330 to 793 of the family's 1533-position model. The record is from RNAcentral.
UCCAGACUCCUACGGGAGGCAGCAGUGGGGGAUAUUGCACAAUGGGGGGAACCCUGAUGCAGCGACGCCGCGUGGGUGAAGGAGCGUUUCGGCGCGUAAAGCCCUAUCGGCAGGGAAGAAGGAGGACGGUACCUGACUAAGAAGCCCCGGCUAACUACGUGCCAGCAGCCGCGGUAAUACGUAGGGGGCAAGCGUUAUCCGGAUUUACUGGGUGUAAAGGGGGCGCAGACGGCAGCGCAAGCCAGGAGUGAAAGCCCGGGGCCCAACCCCGGGACUGCUCUUGGAACUGCGCGGCUGGAGUGCAGGAGGGGCAGGCGGAAUUCCUGGUGUAGCGGUGAAAUGCGUAGAUAUCAGGAGGAACACCGGUGGCGAAGGCGGCCUGCUGGACUGCAACUGACGUUGAGGCCCGAAAGCGUGGGGAGCAAACAGGAUUAGAUACCCGGGUAA